GUAGAAUGACAAUAAACUACUUCUGACUUACAAUUUUACCGUCAUCACUAAUAAAACUCUACGCGCUAUAGUAUUGGAAAUGGGUGCUGGGUCAAAUCAUUAAGAAGGACGACUUUUUCAAACAGGUUUAUAAGGUGAAUAAUAAAUAAUAAUAGAGGUAUAAUCAUGCGUCAAAAGUAGUUUAUUGCUUAUUAUAGAGAGAUAACUUGGUGUAUAGCCCUUUAUACAACUUUGUGAGAGGGUGAUAACAGUAUGAAGAGUGAAUAGCAGAAGAUACAAUGCUAACUAUGCAAAAAGUUUGAAACUUUUGUAACUUCUAAUCAAUAUACAUUAGUUUCAAAGUAGUUUAGUGUUUGACACAGUUAAUUGCUACAAUUAGCUAUUGAUUAAUUACAUGCUAUGAAGAUAUCAUAUUCAAGGGCUUAAUUCUCUGUCUUGGGCUUUAGUGGAUGAUGACAAUGAAAAAAUAUAACUAGUA
Molecule: small RNA, 478 nt
Filed under: Histoplasma capsulatum
Lineage: Eukaryota; Fungi; Ascomycota; Eurotiomycetes; Onygenales; Ajellomycetaceae
Also listed under: 1 other name
Description: hypothetical RNA
Source: RNAcentral